AGUAAAUUAGAGUGUUACAAAGCAGCCUCGUUGGGGCUUUGAAUAGAUUUAGCAUGGGAUAAUAGAAUAGGAUUUGAUAAUCUAUUUGUUGGUUUGAAUUAAUCAAAUAAUGAUUAAUAGGGACAGUUGGGGGCAUUCAUAUUAAGUGGUUAGCGGUGAAAUGUGUGGACCCACUUAAGAUGAACUAAAGCGAAAGCAUUUGCCAAGGAUGUUUUCAUUAAUCAAGAACGAAAGUUAAGGGAUCGAAGACGAUUAGAUACCGUCGUAGUCUUGACUGUAAACUAUGCCGACCAGGGAUAUGAGUAGUAUAUUUCAACAGAUUUAGGUUUGUUGAUACUUCUCCUUAUGCACCUUGUGAGAAAUCAUAAGUUUUUGGGUUCUGGGGGAAGUAUGGUCGCAAGGCUGAAACUUAAAGGAAUUGACGGAGGGGC
Molecule: ribosomal RNA, 431 nt
Filed under: uncultured eukaryote
Lineage: Eukaryota
Description: bacterial SSU rRNA
Rfam family: Eukaryotic small subunit ribosomal RNA
Source: RNAcentral